RNAcentral lists this long non-coding RNA (362 nucleotides) under Homo sapiens (human). RNAcentral describes it as "HSALNT0355459". The record is from RNAcentral. Lineage: Eukaryota; Metazoa; Chordata; Mammalia; Primates; Hominidae.
UCUCUGCGUCUGGAGAACACAGGACGUCCACAGGAAAGUUCUCCCUCCUGCACUCCCGGCUGGCUCUGAAAAUUAUGAAGGCAGAGACGUCCGUGCCUGAUACUGUCCUGGCAGCCACGUGCCCUCAUACACUUGCCCAGACCCUGAAUGUGCUACACGGAGUGACCCCAAUUACACCGUGGGCCCCGGGUGACUGCGACAUGUGAGUGCAGGUUCACCCACGUCACAGACGAACCGCUCCGGUGCAGGGGGAGCUGCGCACGUCGGGGCGGGGGCUGUGGCGUGGGACCUCUGUACCUUCUCUCAAUUUGGCUGUAAGCCUACAACUGCCCUAAAAUAAAGUCUCUUUAUUUAUUUUUUUA